This 220-nucleotide ribosomal RNA is filed under the name Talaromyces liani. Its description in RNAcentral is "partial 28S ribosomal RNA". It matches the Rfam family "Eukaryotic large subunit ribosomal RNA", at positions 1 to 217 of the family's 3401-position model. Lineage: Eukaryota; Fungi; Ascomycota; Eurotiomycetes; Eurotiales; Trichocomaceae. The record is from RNAcentral.
GGUUGACCUCGGAUCAGGUAGGAGUUACCCGCUGAACUUAAGCAUAUCAAUAAGCGGAGGAAAAGAAACCAACCGGGAUUGCCUCAGUAACGGCGAGUGAAGCGGCAAGAGCUCAAAUUUGAAAUCUGGCCCCUUGGGGUCCGAGUUGUAAUUUGCAGAGGAUGCUUCGGGUGCGGUCCCCGUCUAAGUGCCCUGGAACGGGCCGUCAUAGAGGGUGAGA